This 31-nucleotide small RNA is filed under the name Arabidopsis thaliana (thale cress). Its description in RNAcentral is "ATSL250950". The record is from RNAcentral. Lineage: Eukaryota; Viridiplantae; Streptophyta; Magnoliopsida; Brassicales; Brassicaceae.
UAAUCCUUAAGCCAGUUUCUUCCUAAUACAA